RNAcentral lists this transfer RNA (76 nucleotides) under Candidatus Zixiibacteriota bacterium. Its description in RNAcentral is "candidate division Zixibacteria bacterium tRNA-Asn". It matches the Rfam family "tRNA". From Rfam's summary of the family: Transfer RNA (tRNA) molecules are approximately 80 nucleotides in length. Their secondary structure includes four short double-helical elements and three loops (D, anti-codon, and T loops). Further hydrogen bonds mediate the characteristic L-shaped molecular structure. tRNAs have two regions of fundamental functional importance: the anti-codon, which is responsible for specific mRNA codon recognition, and the 3' end, to which the tRNAs corresponding amino acid is attached (by aminoacyl-tRNA synthetases). tRNAs cope with the degeneracy of the genetic code in two manners: having more than one tRNA (with a specific anti-codon) for a particular amino acid; and 'wobble' base-pairing, i.e. permitting non-standard base-pairing at the 3rd anti-codon position. The record is from RNAcentral. Lineage: Bacteria; Pseudomonadati; Candidatus Zixiibacteriota. RNAcentral also lists the same sequence under 1 other name.
UCCGGCGUAGCUCAGUUGGUAGAGCAGCUGACUGUUAAUCAGCGGGCCGCUGGUUCGAGUCCAGCCGCCGGAGCCA